This is a long non-coding RNA of Oncorhynchus tshawytscha (Chinook salmon), 2627 nucleotides long. NCBI's taxonomy places the organism in Eukaryota, Metazoa, Chordata, Actinopteri, Salmoniformes, Salmonidae. The record is from Ensembl.
CUGUCUAGUUAUGUCUGUAAAAACAGUCAUGUCUACUGUCUAGUUAUGUCUGUAAAAACAGUCAUGUCUACUGUCUAGUUAUGUCUGUAAAAACAGUAACGUCUACUGUUUAGUUAUGUCUGUAAAAACAGUCAUGUCUACUGUCUAGUUAUGUCUGUAAAAACAGUCAUGUCUACUGCCUAGUUAUGUCUGUAAAAACAGUAAUGUCUACUGUCUAGUUAUGUCUGUAAAAACAGUAACAUCUACUGUCUAGUUAUGUCUGUAAAAACAGUAAAGUCUACUGUCUAGUUAUGUCUGUAAAAACAGUCAUGUCUACUGUCUAGUUAUGUCUGUAAAAACAGUAAUGUCUACUGUCUAGUUAUGUCUGUAAAAACAGUCAUGUCUACUGCCUAGUUAUGUCUGUAAAAACAGUCAUGUCUACUGUCUAGUUAUGUCUGUAAAAACAGUAACGUCUACUGUCUAGUUAUGUCUGUAAAAACAGUAACGUCUACUGUCUAGUUAUGUCUGUAAAAACAGUAACGUCUACUGUCUAGUUAUGUCUGUAAAAACAGUAACGUCUACUGUCUAGUUAUGUCUGUAAAAACAGUAACGUCUACUGUCUAGUUACGUCUGUAAAAACAGUAACGUCUACUAUUUAGUUAUGUCUGUAAAAACAGUAACGUCUACUGUCUAGUUAUGUCUGUAAAAACAGUAACGUCUACUGUCUAGUUAUGUCUGUAAAAACAGUAACAUCUACUGUUUAGUUAUGUCUGUAAAAACAGUAACGUCUACUGUCUAGUUAUGUCUGUAAAAACCGUAACGUCUACUGUCUAGUUACGUCUGUAAAAACAGUAACGUCUACUGUCUAGUUAUGUCUGUAAAAACCGUAACGUCUACUGUCUAGUUAUGUCUGUAAAAACCAAAACGACACAUACACAAAAAGAUGACUGUAAAAAAAAGACUGAAGGUGUGAUAAGCCACUCAGCAAAAGAGAAUGAAACUGAGGUCUGUAUGCACACGACAAAUGUUGUGUUGCCUCUCUGGAACAGCGAUUUCCUAAACAGCAGAUGGUUUCUGACCCUGGGAAUGGGACACUGUGGUGGAGGAGGAGCUGUCGCCCUAAAAAAAACGCUUCCUGCUUCACACGCUCUGUGUGUGUGUGUGUGUGCACAUCUUUGAGUCUUUCAUUCUGUAUGUGGGGUGUAUAUAUAUAUAUAUAUGUGUGUGUGUGUGUGUGUGUGUGUGUGUGUGUGUGUGUGUGUGUAUUCUAUACGUGCAGUUUUUGAGUGUGUGUCUAUUUACAUCAUCUACAAUAUUUGUAUGAGAGAGGAUGCAUCUAUUGUGUGUAUCUGUUUGUGGUAUUCACUGUGCAAUUCCGCUUUCUUCCCACCAGGUUGUAUGAUAAAUGUGCCUUUGUGUCCAAUUCCAAACAUUCCAUCAGCAGCCUGUUGUAACAGAAAAGUAACACAAAAUGUAUUAUUCUAUCAACACAUUAUGUCCAAUAUAAUAGAUUAUUCUUUCUUUGCAAAAAAGAAAACUCCAGACCAGACCUUGUAAAACCUUCACUAUUGCCCCAACACAACAUAUUGGGUGGAUUGAGUGUGUGUGGGUGCGUGCCUGGGUGUGUGUGUGUGUCUGUUUGUCUAUGUGUGUGCGCGUGAAUGCGUAUGUGUGUGUGUGCAUACAUGCGUGUGACACAGUCAAGCUGUGGGAGCAGGUGUUUGAGUGGAUGAGCGGCCUGAUUGUCUAACUACUGAGGAAAAUUAUGUUUCCUAUUGUUCUGACUGUCAACAUCGGACCCCAAGUGCCACUCACACACCACCGAUCAGGUGUUUGCCAUAAAAGAGAAAACAUUCAGCAAAUCAAAGGACAAACUUUCACCUCUCUCCUUUCUGAUGAUUAGAUUGACACUAUAAUGUUCCAUCUGCAUUUUUUGUCAAAAUGUAGUUAUUGAUAUAGCCUUGUUCUGUUCAGUGUUCACAACUCAUAUAGUACUCUAGAUACCCAAUUCAUGUUGCUAUGUUCAAAAGAAUACACAAUAAAAAUUGCUGACACCAUUCAAACCGAUUAGGAUUCAGAACUUUAAAGCCAAUUUUCUCAGAAUCCUCUUUUUUGCAGACAGAACCUUAUAGUUCCAGGCUCUCGACAUGGUGAAAUGACCUGGCCCACUUCAAAAACCAAAAAAGAGCUGCCAAUAUGUUUACAAAACACACACCUGAUGUUAUUACAUGUAGUCAAAAUAAUUGUCCAAUCAAAAAUAAUUUAAAUCUGAAGAAAAUAUAGAUACUAACAGAAGGGGAUUAAAUGAUGACCAAAUUGUCAGUAGACAAUGUAACCUGGUUCCUUAUUGUAUGUGUGCCAGCCACAUUAUUUUUAAUAAAGCAAGAUUAAAUGAAAGUCAGAUUCAGCUGCCUAGGAAAUGGUGAAAAUACCUGAGGGCUUGAAAGCAGUCAGUUGAACCACCUGGUAAAGUAAAACAGACGUGUUGAUGUCUGGGAGAUGGUUCAGAAUUCGUCAAAUACACAAUGAACCAUUUAGGAGUGAUGGUAGGCCAAAUGAGAGGAUAGAGUCUCUAUAGAUGCAUAAUACCAAACAUACCUGGUUUCCUGAUGCAGGUUUCAAGGAGAAACUACUUUCUUUUCCAAAAC